CACGUAGGGGGCGAGCGUUGUUCGGAAUCAUUGGGCGUAAAGGGCGAGCAGGCGGUCCUGCAAGUCCGGCGUGAAAGACCCCGGCCCAACCGGGGGGACGCGCUGGAAACUGCGGGGCUUGAGUACAGGAGGGGAUGCCGGAAUUCCAGGUGUAGGGGUGAAAUCUGUAGAUAUCUGGAAGAACACCAAUGGCGAAGGCAGGCAUCUGGCCAUGUACUGACGCUGAGACGCGAAGGUGCGGGGAGCAAAC
RNAcentral lists this ribosomal RNA (250 nucleotides) under uncultured bacterium. Its description in RNAcentral is "partial 16S ribosomal RNA". It matches the Rfam family "Bacterial small subunit ribosomal RNA", at positions 524 to 773 of the family's 1533-position model. The record is from RNAcentral. RNAcentral also lists the same sequence under 1 other name.